Molecule: non-coding RNA, 46 nt
Organism: Strongylocentrotus purpuratus (purple sea urchin)
Lineage: Eukaryota; Metazoa; Echinodermata; Echinoidea; Camarodonta; Strongylocentrotidae
Source: Rfam
CAAAUAGUCCUUUUCAGGACUACCACACCCCUAAAAAAGAUUACUG